CCAUUGGAUCCGAGGCGCUGUUCGCCAUUCUGAUUAUUCCCUGCUUACUGUCUGUUUGUCCUUAUCAGUCUGUCCCAAUGAGGAAAGCAAAUAAACAAAGAUGAUGCUACGUCAUGUGAGGGGGUGAGGGAGAGAGAGAGAGAGAGAGAGAGAGAGAGAGAGAGAGAGAGAGAGAGAGAGAGAGAGAGAGAUGGGCACUGGAUGAGAGAAAGAAAUAAAAAAAAUGGUGUUGGCUGAAAAAGGUAUAACAGGGAAAGAGAAAGAAGGCACGAAAGUAAGGAUCAUCUUUUAUUUCAGUUAUUUAUUUAUUUUUCUCCCCUGCUCCCUCGUUGACCUUCUGUUUGGAGAGAGGAAGGCAGCAGCACAGCACUCCUCACUGGCAAAGACAGGAGAGAGGCGCCUGCUGCUGCUGCUGCUGCUGCUGCUGCUGCAUCCGGGAUUCACCUCACCUACACAGGACGGGAUCCUGGGUUGAUCACGGUCUUCCAAAAACUGUCAAGAUUUAAGCCUGGAUGGAGGCGGCACCGGCUCCCCGCUAAUUCAGUGAAAAUUCAACUGCAACUCCUGGGGACUUCCUGGCAGGACUGGGAGCUUGUAUCGGAGCUGUCCAAUCAGUGUAUUUACACGGGUUGUUAGCGACAGUUAAUGAGGGCUCCUCCCCGGGCCGGUAGAGAAAAGGCGCCUCAACAUUAAGAUUUACCUUGUGUCAACUCGUUACUUCUAAUGAACCUCCCUGAAAAAGCCUCCUUCGUAGUCAAUGGAGCCGCGCGCCCGGAUCUUGUGUGUGUGGGACUGGAAGAGUGGAGCUGCAAGCCGGGCUCCCUUCUCUCCCCCCACAUCCAUUUUUUUUUUUUUUUUUCUCAGAGGGGGUUUUUUUUUUUUUUUUUUUUUUUUUUAACCCCUCUUGCACACCCAGCCUUAUGAUGCAUGCAUGUUUUGUGAGGUGCAUGCCUGCUCUUUAUGUCACAACAGCACAUGGAUGAACAGUGCUAAACGUAGUUUGCAAGCGUUUGGCUGUAAGUUAGCUAAUUCCACUCUGGAGAUUUUUAGACUUACACGGAUAAGUCAAAUAGAAACUAUGACAGAGAAGCUGGAGGGAGUGUUUGCGUGCCUCUAUCGCAAACUCAGAGCAUCUGCCAUUGUUUGCUGAAUGAGGCUUGACAUGUCAACUUAUUGCCUCUGCAGAAAAGAAGUUCAUUUAUUCCCCUCCCCCCACCAACCCCAGGUUUUCUUUCCCCCUCCCCAAGAGCAGAUCAGCCUCUGGCCCCUGUGUCCAUCCCUCAUCUGGCCCCCAGUGUGGCUUGUUGAGCCGCAUCAGCAACACAUCACUGCCCAUGAAUUCAGGUACAAACUGGAGGAGUUUGGCAGAUCACUAAAAGUGGAUUUCCCUCCCACUCUUUCCAAACCACAGAAACACUUAAAAAUCAAUUAGCCUUGUCUGGCCCUCUGCCUGCACCAGUCACCAUUAGGACAAAACAAAACAAAAACAAAAACAGGUGAGUUCCACAGGACCAGACUAUGUAUAUUUAGGAUUUAUUGCCAGCUUUAAUUACAGUGGAAACAAACAUUUAGCAUUUUAUCAAUGAAACUGGUGCAACGAUUUAAGUGUGUUUUAUUUGGGAUAUAUUUGAAGCAAUUUCUUCUCAGUUCUCCUCUCCACUUUGUGGUCAAGGUAUAAACCUCUAAACUUCUUAAAUAUGUUAUAACAUGUCACUUGCAAGCUGCUUCCCUGGCAACCACAACAAAGAAAUGAUGAUCCACGUGCCUCUGGGAAUAAAACGUCCGCUUGCUAGUAAGUUUGACUUUAGCAUUGGCAUUGUCACUUAUGCAUCUUUAAAAAAAUUAAAAAACAAAAAAAAAAUAUCUUCAAAUAAUAAGCCAAAAAAUGCUUAUGAGUUAAUUUCAUAUAUUUUAAAUAUACUGUAACUACAUGGCAUCAUAUCAGAGUCUCACCACUGUUCAACACAGAAGUCUGUUGGCUCGUCACCAAGUUCAAUUUUUAGCAUUACUGCUGUCGCUAAGCUAGUCAAAGAUAACAUUAUCUAGAGCUAUUAUCAGAAAUACUUCCCUGACCUGUAGCAGUGUCUUCUUGGAAAAUGGUUUGAAUGCUUGAAGGUGGUGAACACUAACAAGCUAGUAGUACGCUAUAUGUGAAUCCACCUCCUCAGUUCCCCUUUCGGGAUAACUUUCAAACAACCAUGAACCCCGAAAACUUUGUUUUACACAAUAUUUGAUGGUACUGCACAGGUGACUCAAAGUCCAAAUGUUUACUCCGUUCUUCACAAACCUAGAUUUCAUUACCAGUUAACAGCUUAUCUACUGUUUUAACUUUACAUAAAAACAAGAACUUUCUUUGGCUUUACGACACAGUUUCUUAUGUAGUAACGGUUUGUUGGGAAAUUAUACAGCUGUUUUCUGCUAAUACGGCAUUGCUUCCUAUUGAUAAGAGUAUUUUCAUUUCGAGUUGUUCUAAGCUGAUAGACAUCUAAAGCUGGCUACCUGUUAGCCGUCCACCAAUACUGUCACAUACAGUAAGGUAACUUUUUAAAGCUAUUUACAAACUUAAUGUAUUGCUCCAACACAGAGACUUUGACCAAUGCAAGCCUAAUAGCAUCUUUUAACUUUUACUGAUGUAAUAUUUUCAACUUAUAAACAAAUCCACCUUGACAUUAUCAGGACACACAAAGGACAAGAAUAAACAAGGGUUGACUGAACCAAUACCUUUAGCUAAAUUGUGAUGCAAAUAUGUAUUGUGUCCAAAGUUAUUAGAAUUUAUCCACCAUGGUACUACAAUUACAAACCAAAAUGGCUGCUUCACAUUGAAAUCAUUAUCAUGGAUAAUAUUUAAUUUACUAGGAAAUUCGUUUUUUUAGUGUAACGAGUCCCAAUCCCGUCGCUGGCGACAUAUUUUGACCACUCUGAAUAUGAGAUGUUAUGAAGAAACGUUUUCCUUUCGCCUGUUCAAACUGAGCCCUUCAGAGUGAAGAGGUGUUACUCAACAUAUUUGCGCACCAUAAUGAGAUUUACCUUUUCACAAGCAAAUACAUCCACCAGCAAUCAGCAGGUGACAAACUGCUAUAAAAUACUUGCAGAUCUCGGUACUCGAUGUGUUUGCAAAGUCCCGCAACCUCUCCCGGGCUGUUAAUAAGUUUUAUUUUAUUUCUAUAUAUAGAAUACAUUUUUUUUGUGUGUUUUUUUUUUUUUUUUAGCAGCCGCCUGGUGCAGCAAUGUGACAGAGAGGGGCAGCGCCGGAGGAGGCCGGGUGUUCACUCUUCCAGGUCGAUUCAUGAAUAGGGAGAAAUAAAUAUAACGGGCGCAUAUCAGAUGCGUUGCCCCAAGCUUUACACAUGAUGCUCACCUUAACGUUCCCCAAUGACCGUCUCACAGGUUUAAAAAAAAAUUGUCGCUUUUUCAGCGCAGUCAGUCCAUUUCUCCUUCCAGUCCCUAAAUAAAGCUUGUGCAUAAGUCAUUAAGCUACUUGUGUGGAGGAAAAAGAUGCUCUCAGGCAUGAAUGAGGCCAACACAAUGACCAGCCAGGGUCUUCCCAAAAAAAAAAAAAAAAAAAAAGAAAAAAAAAAGAAAAAGAAAACCAUAUUCUGUUUUGGAUUCGUCUGUCCUGGCUGAUUAACCGGCCGGGGCUCCAACAUCUCAGAUGGGAGCUGUGGAGAUGGCCCUUUAGCCCGGUGUCACAGGAGCUGACAAGAUGCAAUUACUGCGGCUGACACGUCCAACCCCAAAGCUCACUAAUGUGAGAGAUGUGGAAACCGCAGACAGUUUCUCGCACACUAUGCAGCGAGAGGCAACUCUGCGGCCAAGGAGUCCCAUUUUAAACGCGGCUCUGCGUGACACCUUUCACCAGUAAAAUAGCCGCUUAUUUAGCAGGCGACGAUACGGAGCGGAGCAUCAUGAGGCUGUAUGCAAACGCAGGACAACAGAGAGCUAGUCUACUCGGUUUUGAAAGGACAUACACUAUAAAAACGGAAUUUUGAAGGAGAUUAACUAUUAUUCAGAAAAUUAUUUGUAUUUAUUUAUUUUUUAAUCACGUGGUUAGAAUACAGUUUGAGUAAUUGAUUCAGUCUGUAAACUGAUAUUCAUAUAUGACUUAGCAAAAAAUGAGAACUACAUUGACACAUUUGACUGAGGAAGUCAAAUGCAUUAGCAUUAGCACUCAUCAGUGCUAAUGCUAGUUUAAGCAGUAAGGGGAGCUUAAACAUGAGGAAAUGAUUGCCAAUGAACAGUGACCUCUAGAACACAACGUGUUUGCAUGUCAAAAAAAAAGAACUGUUAUUAUUACUUAUUGAUUCUUGACAGAUGAUACAACAGCCAUGGUAGGCGAUCUUAAUAAUUAUGGGGGAAACUCUUUUAAAAGAAAGCGGUGAAAUUUUAAACAAUGCGUUUGGGUUGUUUCAGCUGUGAAACACACAAACUUAUCCUUAAAAAUGGGAAUGAAUUAUAACAAAAUAAAGUUUAUAUAAAUGGAAUGAAAUUUUUAUCUGUCAAAUU
Long non-coding RNA from Poecilia latipinna (sailfin molly), 4503 nucleotides. RefSeq lists it as uncharacterized. The transcript has 3 exons. The record is from RefSeq and is a predicted model, not a curated record. NCBI's taxonomy places the organism in Eukaryota, Metazoa, Chordata, Actinopteri, Cyprinodontiformes, Poeciliidae.